AAGAAUUUAAGUUAAGAAAACUCUUAGCCUUCAAAGCUAAAAAUGGGGUAAAAUAAACCUAAUUCUUA
Molecule: transfer RNA, 68 nt
Filed under: Ips typographus
Lineage: Eukaryota; Metazoa; Arthropoda; Insecta; Coleoptera; Curculionidae
Description: tRNA-Trp
Source: RNAcentral